Molecule: long non-coding RNA, 1181 nt
Organism: Leopardus geoffroyi (Geoffroy's cat)
Lineage: Eukaryota; Metazoa; Chordata; Mammalia; Carnivora; Felidae
Exons: 6
Source: RefSeq, a predicted model, not a curated record
UCUUGGUUUUGGGGGUAGAUUCCCGUGAUUCAUAUGCUUACCUACAACACCCAGGGCUCAUCCCGACAAGUGGGCACAAUUUAUAGAUCACCCAAAUGGAUCCAAACUCUGUCCGCCUUUGAGUAUAAGUGAGGCCUUACUAAGAUUAUGGACCAAAUUGUGAUGACCCUUGAUGCCCCCUUCGAUGACUGUCGAACCAUACCUCCCCUUAAUGUCUCUUCCAGUUUCCAGAGUAGGAACAAGUUCAUGCAUGUUUUCCUCGUCUGGUAACCUGUCACGUCACUUGUCUCUGGCCCAGCUGCAGCUUACAGGAUGAUCCUGUACCUUCUCUUCCUGGCACUGACAGCAUCUUGAGGGAGACGGAUGUAUCUCAGAGGAUCCCUGGUUUUGGGGCUGGAUGCAAUGAACAGAGAUCCAGGUUCCAGGCAGAAGAACAGGUUUUCAUUCUUCAGACCUGUUAGCACUUCAGUGGUGAAUACAGAAGACAAAAUUAGUACAGAUCAAGUAACAUGGAAAAGAAGAGACAGCACUAGAUACAGAAGUAGACAACAGGAGGAGAAAACUCAGGCCUUGGCAAAAGCCACAUUACCGAACAGGGUUGCAGAGAGUGUCAGCUGGGGUCAGAUGAGAACAGCAGUCUGACUCAACAGACAUUUAUUGCACUCCUGCUGUAUGCCAAGAAAUGCACUGAAAUCUGGAAGUGUGUAACACAGGAGAAGAAAAGGCUUAUCGCCAAGGAGCCCUCACCUGGAAAGAGAGAUGGAAUCUCAGCCUAAGGUGGUGAAAUGUUGACAUGCUACCAGAAGGACAAAACAGCAGAGGACUAAUUUUUACUUCCUGUUGGCUCAAGCAGGAAACCCAAGCCAGACUGAUUCCUCCAUGUUUGACUUACAACUUCGAGAGUGUCUAGCCAGGUAUUCUGAGUGCCAUCAAGCAAGUAACAGCUGGAGAACGUGCAGCGAAAGAAACCACACAACAAGGAGCCAAAUCACAUUUUUCACUUAUUACGGAACAACUUUAUGAUAAGUUGACACUUAACACAUUGCAGUCCGAUGUUUGCCACCGUGUCUGAUACACGGCACUGUGUGUAUAUCAUGCAAUUAUGUUCUUCACGUGAUUGUUCACAUAAACUUAUUACAUUUUGGAACAGAUACAGCUAAAAUAAAUCUCUUUUGAAUUUU